Molecule: ribosomal RNA, 485 nt
Filed under: uncultured bacterium
Lineage: Bacteria
Description: partial 16S ribosomal RNA
Rfam family: Bacterial small subunit ribosomal RNA
Source: RNAcentral
GAUUGAACGCUGGCGGCAGGCCUAACACAUGCAAGUCGAGCGGAUGAAGGGAGCUUGCUCCUGGAUUCAGCGGCGGACGGGUGAGUAAUGCCUAGGAAUCUGCCUGGUAGUGGGGGAUAACGUCCGGAAACGGGCGCUAAUACCGCAUACGUCCUGAGGGAGAAAGUGGGGGAUCUUCGGACCUCACGCUAUCAGAUGAGCCUAGGUCGGAUUAGCUAGUUGGGGGGGUAAAGGCCUACCAAGGCGACGAUCCGUAACUGGUCUGAGAGGAUGAUCAGUCACACUGGAACUGAGACACGGUCCAGACUCCUACGGGAGGCAGCAGUGGGGAAUAUUGGACAAUGGGCGAAAGCCUGAUCCAGCCAUGCCGCGUGUGUGAAGAAGGUCUUCGGAUUGUAAAGCACUUUAAGUUGGGAGGAAGGGCAGUAAGUUAAUACCUUGCUGUUUUGACGUUACCAACAGAAUAAGCACCGGCUAACUUCGUG